CAGCCGCCACGGUAAUACGGAGGGGGCUAGCGUUGUUCGGAAUUACUGGGCGUAAAGCGCACGUAGGCGGCUUGGUAAGUUAGAGGUGAAAGCCCGGAGCUCAACUCCGGAAUUGCCUUUAAGACUGCCGAGCUUGUAGGUGAGAGAGGUAAGUGGAAUUCCGAGUGUAGAGGUGAAAUUCGUAGAUAUUCGGAAGGACACCAGUGGCGAAGGCGGCUUACUGGCUCAUUCUAGACGCUGAGGUGCGAAAGCGUGGGGAGCAAACAGGAUUAGAUACCCCCGUAGUCCCUGUCUCUUAUAC
Molecule: ribosomal RNA, 301 nt
Filed under: uncultured bacterium
Lineage: Bacteria
Description: partial 16S ribosomal RNA
Rfam family: Bacterial small subunit ribosomal RNA
Source: RNAcentral